AUCUCCUGCCUCCAGGCAGUUUCACCGUUCCCCCCCUUUCCACAGCCAUCUUGGUGUCUCCCCAGCAGUGCGGGGAACACGCUGGAUUUUCUGCAUCCUGUUAAUCAGAACCAGGCACGACUGCUGCCCCUGGGCUGGCGGGAGAGCAGGAGUUAACCCAUCCUGCGGGAUGAGGCUGUAAUUGCCACUAGGCUCCUAAGAUGAAUGAGCUUUUAAGGACUGCCAACUUCUGAAUGGAGGCAGGAGGACCAACAACAGCACCGACUUAAUAACCAGCAGCCAGCGGCAGGAGCACAUAUGGAGGCAGCGUGGUUCAGCUGGAAAUAAACCCCGGAGGUGUCAGGGCAGCGGAUAAGGGCUGUGCUGGCAGCGUGGAGGUGGAAAAGAUGAAAUCUGACUGCUGGGGAAACAACCAAGGCUGCCAGGCUGGACAUGCGUGAUACAUCUCUGGCUGGGACUUGGAUCCUUUGAACCCAGCUGAGAAGCAGCAGAGAAAACCAUCAAAUUAGGCACAGGGUUUGACCUCAGAAGACCAUGGAGAGGCUGUGUGCCCUGGGACCCCACAGAGCAGCACCUGUGGGGGCUGGGCAGAGACCGAGGGCUGCUCCUGCAUGUCAUGGGAGGGGUCACCAAGGGGCACCCGCCCUUGCACUGUGCCAGUAUCACCACCUCUACACCAGGCCCUGUGGCACAAAGGGGUCCAGGGGACCUGUUGUGGCAUUGCCCUGACUCUGAGCAGCUCUUGGAGCUCUUGCACAGCAGCAAACACGUUUAGAACAUUGUACAUCACCCUGCAAGCAGCUCCCUGAGCAGGGGCAGCGGGGCUCUUGUGGAGGAGUCACAGCUAAGCUUAAGCAUCUGGCUCUGUGCAUUCCUAUAUUGUAAUAAAAUAAGUCUUCCCACA
Molecule: long non-coding RNA, 904 nt
Organism: Pseudopipra pipra
Lineage: Eukaryota; Metazoa; Chordata; Aves; Passeriformes; Pipridae
Exons: 2
Source: RefSeq, a predicted model, not a curated record